Molecule: long non-coding RNA, 133 nt
Filed under: Ictidomys tridecemlineatus (thirteen-lined ground squirrel)
Lineage: Eukaryota; Metazoa; Chordata; Mammalia; Rodentia; Sciuridae
Description: lncRNA (ENSSTOG00000030908.1)
Source: RNAcentral
UCAUCUUCCUGGAGAAGCGCUGAUCAUAUUUUUCAAAUAUUGACGGCCAAAAUAAUAAUAACAAUGACAAAGAAAAUGGGAUGACCCACAUCAUAGAACAGAAUCUUUACUUGGAAACCGACCCUGCAGCACG